UUUUUUUUUUUUGUCUUUUUUAUGCUAUUUCUUGGGCCGCUCCCGCGGCAUAUGGAGGUUCCCAGGCUAGGGGUCGAAUCGGAGCUGUAGCCACUGGCCUUCGCCAGAGCCACAGCAACGCGGGAUCCAAGCCGCGUCUGCAGCCUACACCACAGCUCAUGGCAACGCCGGAGCCUCAACCCACUGAGCAAGGGCAGGGACCGAACCCGCAACCUUAUGGUUCCUAGUCGGAUUCGUUAACCACUGCGCCACGACAGGAACUCCCGAAUCAGUUUUCUUAUUAGCAAAAUGUUAGUAAGACAGUAAUAAGAGAAAAAUAUAUUUCCCUAGGACAUGUUCUGUUAAUAAAUCACCUAAGAGAUCCCAGAAAAGAGGAAAAGAGCUAUCAUUUUUAUUCAGGCAUGGCACUGUGAAAUUUAAGGUAUAGUGAUAUCUACUGCUUGAGUCUAACAAUUGUCUUAACCAUUGGCAAGAUUUGCAGCUCAAAGGAGUGGAAGAGGUCUCUCUUUGUAUAUAAUAUACAAAGUUGCUAGAAAGUUUCAAGACGUUUAGUUUCCCCUGAAAUCUUAAGGACAUCACUUACCCAUCAGCUACUCUGAAGCUACCGGUCAGCAUCCUCAGAAUUUACCUUUCUUUAAAAAGGCAUAGAAGUGCUUAUAGAUGCUGUUCAUCUUAUUUCAUAAAACAGACCCAAGCUUCUCUCGUGGUGUAGAACAUACAAUAUAUAACACUUUACACUUGAUGGGCAGCUGUAGAUAAUACACUGUGAGGACAUUCAGAGAUGCUAACUUCUUUUAACCACAGGAGUCUAAAUCUCUGUUAAAAAGAGAACCAGAAAAGGCUGACUUAGACAUUUGACCCAGAAGAUGAUCUUCAUGCCCAGCUGAAGUUAAGAGCUUCUGCUCCCUCAGAAAGUGUGUGUCUUGAAGCAUCAUGCUGGGCACUGAGGAUGCUCAGAUAAAACAACUGGCCUCCAAUUCUCUGGCCUCUCUGAUGUUUCGGAAAGGAAUUGUUUCAAAAGAUGUACUUGGCAUAAUACCCUCAAGGUCCAUCCAUGUAGCAAAUGGCAAGAUUUCAUCUUAUGGCUGAGCAGUACUCCAUUAUACACAGAUACCACGUCUUUGUCCAUUCAUCUCUUGAUGGGCAAUUAGGUAGUUUCCCUAUCUUGGCUAUUAUAAACAACUCUGUGAUGAACAUAAGGGUGCAUAUAUCUUUUUCUAAUUAGAGGGUAUUUUGUUAAGUAAAAUCAAUCAGAUGGAGAAAGACAAGGACCCCAUGAUUCCACUCAUAUGUGGAUUUUAAAACAAAAUACAACAAAAUAGAUGAACGAACCAAACCAAGUAGAUACAGGGACCAGAGUAGUAUGCGAAGAGGAUAUGGAGGGAAGGGGGAGGGGAUGGGGAGGGUGAAACGGGUAAAGGGAAUCAACUGCAUGUUGAUGGAUGGAAACUAAACUUUUGGUGGCGAGCACGCUGUCGUCAUACAGAACUGAAAAUAGUUCCCUGUACUAGACAGCAGGCCCUUGUUCUUUAUCUAUCUUGUACUGAGCAGUUUGUAUCUGCUAAUCCCAAACUCUUAAUCUAUCCCUUCCCCUUUGGCAGCUAUAAAUUUGUUUUCUAUGUAAGUUCAUUUGCAUCAAAUUUUAGAUUCCACACAUAUGUAAUAUGAUUGGAUAUUUGUCUUGCUCUGACUUGCUUGGUAUGAUAAACUCUAGAUCCAUCCACACUGCUAUAAAUGGCAGUAUUUCAUUUUUUAUGGCUGAAUACACACACAUAUGUACACAUACAUACACCACAUCUUCUUUAUCCAUUCGUCUGUGGAUGAACACUUAAACAGUGCUGCCGUGAACACUGGGGUGCAUGGAUCUUUCAGAACCUAGUUUUCUCUAGACAUAUAUGCUCAGGAGUGGGAAACCUAGAUCAUAUGGUAAUUCUAUGUUUAGUUUUCAAGGAACCUCUGUAUUAUUUUUCCAUAAUGGCUACACCAAUUUACAUUCCCACUCACUGUAUAGGAGGGUUCCGUUUUCUCCACACCAUCUCCACCAAUUUAUUAUGUGUACAGUCUUUGGCGACUGUUCUUUGAGAACUGCAUAAAGCUCUGAAUCCUUUUCCCAAAAAAGAUACAUCUAUUCAAACCUAUACCAAAUAUGUAGUGUAAAUUUUAGGGCAUUUACAACACCCCUUUGGAGACGCUUAAGAACCUCCUAACACAGAGUAAAUGAGGAAGAAGACUAAAACUGAAACCCUGAGGGACCCCAUCACUAAAAAGACUGGCAAAGAAUGACAGUCCAGCAAAGCAUAUUAGGGAUGACUAAUGAGACAGUUAGAUGGGAAGCCAGGAGAGAAUGACAUCAUGGAUUCGAGAAAAUUACACAUGUCCAGAAAUAGGAAAUAGGCAGCACUACCCAAUGCUGUUCAGAAGUUACACGGAAUGCGAAUUAAACACAGGCCAUCGGUGUUCACUGGUCUAGAGCUGCUAGUCCAGAAGCCAGACUCUGAUAAUAAGAUGAGAAAAUGCAGAAGAAGAUUUGGAAUGCAUACAGACACAUUUGCAAGAAACCCGGGCAACAAGAGUUUGAAUGAAUAACAGAGGUAAGACAACAGAUUUUUAUUGACUGUUUACCCACAGGUUAAGGGCAAAACGUGAGCAUGCUUUUUGGUUGGAGGGAAAGAGCAGAGGAAGAAGACUGAGAGAAAGAGAAGAUGAACAUUAAUUCAGUAACCUUAGAAUUCAUCAGGCUGAUGUUGUAGAGGAGGAUGGUCGUUUUCAAUGAGAUUGAACAGAAAGAAAUCCUCUCAGCUGUAGAUAAUAUUGACUAUGAUGGAGAGAGAAGAUUGUACUGGAUGGCAUUUACCUUCUCUGUACAUUAUAAGCGAAGGUGAGAUGGUGUUAAGUGUUAAUGGCAGAGCAUAAAAGCUGACCAGGGAAAGGGCAAAGGUGGCACAACUAUUUUACGGUGUCCUUAAAAACAGAUGCCCUAUUCAGUGCUCUGGGGUGCUCUGCAGGCAUCUUAGCAGGAAAAGAUACACAGCCUUCUCAGGAGCGAGUCAAUUCUGCCCUCCUCAAACAUCCUUAGAAAACAGGUAUCCCUUUAAUGAAUAAGGAAUGGCUGACAGUUGGUAGAUAAGACAUGUAACUUUCUUAUCCAACACUCAAUACCCUUCAGCAGAGAGGGACAACACAGAAAAAUUAGUUAAUUACACUGUCAGUUGGUCGCUUGGCUCUGCAGACCACACAAAAGAAAGCAGCAAGCAAGAGGGCCAGCAGACUUCUCUGCAGCAUGUGUCAGUCUAGAUAAACGAGAGGGCUAGGUAAUCUGUGCUUUGGAUUCUACAGAUGACGUCCUCAUGUCCUAAAACCAUUCAAAUCUGAAAACAAAAAUCCCUCUCAAAUCCACAAUAAUGGCCACUGAACAACAGGGACUGGAAGGCAUAUUAUUCAGUCUCUUCUGAUGAAAGGCUGCUGAACAGGAUUCCCAGUGACGUGGGGCAUGUGAUGGGUUACAGAUGCUGUGUUUGGGUGUCAUCUGAAGGCACCUGCUAUCUAAUAAAUCACAGUAUGUUCACUUGUCCUAUUAAAACUAUAUUCUACCUUACCAGGUAUGAAUAAUUUGUAUAAAAUUGAUUGCUACAGUUCUCACUAGAAGCUCUAAUUGCAUUCCUGGUAUAACUUAAAAUGAUAACCUUAUCUUAAUUAGUAGCAUGAUGCAGAAAUGCUUUUGAAAGCCUCUGUGAAUUAACCUGCAUUUUUUUAAAGAGAAGCCCUGGGGCUUAAAAAAAAUAAUAACUCAAAAAAUUAUUCCUAUUGAAUACGUGAGCCAAUGUCAAUUUAUCAAAACCACCAAAGAAAAGAAUCGUAUCGUGAAAGACGAAGCUACAGAGCUAACGCCUCCUCUGAUCAGGCAGUUUGUAUUCCUCUUUGCAGAACCCUCCAGGAUGUAAAUCCAAGGCCUAGAUCUCUGCAGUGUCCACAGAUUCUCCACCCCCACAGAAGAGUCUGUCUCCGUUUACUCUAAUGAGACUCCCCGGCCCUAAUAAGCAGAGCCCUACAAUGAUGGAAAUGAAGUAGACGCACACGUUAGGGCUACAUUUGGACUUUGCUGGGAAUUAAUCACUAUACACACCACCUCCGGUACUCCCCUAAGUUCCACACCAGGCUGUUCUCCCAAUCAAUCCUCGUUCAAUUAAUUCUGGCCUUCCUCAUCCGUCUCAAGCUUUCUAACAUCCGUUUCUGGCCCACUCACAUUCGAAAUGUCUGAGCGAAACUCCAAAAUAAAAAGGUUUCCUGUGGGAGAGGUUAUCCUCUGUAUCUUUUCUGUAUUAUCACCCUGGUAAAGAGAUGCGCAGUGGCUCACUGAUGAUAAUCAUUAUCUAACAGAGCACACCAGGAUAUAUGAAAAUUAACAUGUCAACCACCUUAAACUAUAUGACAGCAAGACUGAAAGACGCCACCGUAAAUCAGCAUUGUAAAAAAAACCCAAAGUGGAUGUUAAAGAGUCUCCAAGGCAGUGCUUGCAAAACGAGGGGCCUACCAAUAAACACAAUGCAACCUGGCAUAUAUCCUUCGAAUGCCCAGCCAAAGAAAUUAGGUAGAGUUUAUUAUCAUCCAAAACGCUAAUGAAAGCCACCUCUAUAAACGUUAAAUACACACUAUUGUAAGAAAACUACUCUCCCAAGACUGGCCCCUGAGGUCUGCCGUUUCCCCACUUGUGGAAUAAACAAUCUUCCUAGAAUGCAAUUUGGGAUCUCCUUCUCUAAAAAUGAAUAUGGAGUAAACUUUUUUAAAAGUUUUUUUCUCCCUGCUGGAAAAAGGAGCAGUUUUGAUUUUUUUUUUUUUUUGAAAGUGAUAGUGAUUUUUUUAUACAAUUUUUUUCCUACUGUACAGCAUGGUGACCCAGUUACACAUACAUGUACACAUUCUAUUUUCUCACAUUAUUAUGUUCCAUCAUAAGUGACUAGACAUAGUUCCCAGUGCUACACAGCAGGAUCGCAUUGCUGUUCCAUUCCAAAGGCAAUAGUUUGCAUCUAUUAACCCCAAGCUCCCAAUCCACCCCACUUCCUCCCCCAUCCCCUUUGGCAACCACAAGUCUAUGCUCCAAGUCCAUGAUUUUCUUUUCUAUGGAAAGGUUCAUUUGUGCUGUAUAUUAGAUAAAAGAGCAGUUUUGAUUAAAUGUAAGUGGUCAGAGCUAGCAGUGACUAUUACACUAGGAUAAUAUCCUUAGAACUGAAUAUAAAAUUAGUAGAAAGCAAAGAAGUAUAAACACUUCUCACAUUUGAGAUUGUAGAUGGAAGUUCCAUCUAAUUUAAUUUAGGAGCAUUGAAAAUAGUAAACUUAAACAUAGAAGAAACAGGUGCAUAUUCAUUUUCAAAAAAUCUUUUUAAAGUAGUCAGUACCUUUUUUAACAGCAUUAAAACAUUUAAAAUAUCUACUAUGAGAAAGGAGCUCUAUGCUACAACUGAUGUGAAGGUAAUGGCUCUUCUAAACUAGUAAAGCAUCCUUUUAAUUUAUGACCAACUUCUCUUCAAUAAGAGAUGUCAUUUCGGAGAAGCACUAUUGUGUGGUACAUGUGGGCUUAUAUUUACAUAAGCACAUUAUCCAUAUCUUGAAGGUCCUGCAAAAGUACAGAAGACUGGGUACAUUUUCUCUUAUUUAAAACUCUAUCUCCAGGCUUGAGAGUAAGGAGAUUAAAGACUAAACAUAUAUUAGCACUGUGAAAAUGCAGCCUGAAAAACCCUGGCGGAAGAGACAUUUUAAUCAACGGAUAUCUCAAAUGGAGUGACCCCAAAUCAGUUUAACAAGACUGUUGUUCUAAAGAAGGAAAGCCCUCUGAUCAUUUAACUUGCUUUUCACUUCAUUGGUGUGACAACCACAUACUGAUGGCAUCUUCAGGUUGCAAAAUCUAAGUCUUUCUACCACGGCAGUUACAGUCUCAUUU
Molecule: long non-coding RNA, 5935 nt
Filed under: Sus scrofa (pig)
Lineage: Eukaryota; Metazoa; Chordata; Mammalia; Artiodactyla; Suidae
Description: lncRNA (ENSSSCG00035035840.1)
Source: RNAcentral